This 501-nucleotide ribosomal RNA is filed under the name uncultured bacterium. Its description in RNAcentral is "bacterial SSU rRNA". It matches the Rfam family "Bacterial small subunit ribosomal RNA", at positions 899 to 1397 of the family's 1533-position model. The record is from RNAcentral.
ACUCAAAUGAAUUGACGGGGGCCCGCACAAGCGGUGGAGCAUGUGGUUUAAUUCGAUGCAACGCGAAGAACCUUACCAAGGCUUGACAUCCUCUUGACCGGUACAGAGAUGUACCUUACCCUUCGGGGACAGGAGAGACAGGUGGUGCAUGGUUGUCGUCAGCUCGUGUCGUGAGAUGUUGGGUUAAGUCCCGCAACGAGCGCAACCCUUAUUGACAGUAGCCAGCGGGUUAAGCCGGGCACUCUGUUGAGACUGCCGUGGAUAACACGGAGGAAGGUGGGGACGACGUCAAAUCAUCAUGCCCUUUAUGUCUUGGGCAACACACGUGCUACAAUGGCUGAUACAAAGCGACGCGAAGGAGCGAUCUGGAGCAAAGCGCAAAAACUCAGCCUCAGUUCGGAUUGUAGUCUGCAACUCGACUAUAUGAAGCCGGAAUCGCUAGUAAUCGCGAAUCAGCAUGUCGCGGUGAAUACGUUCCCGGGCCUUGUACACACCGCCCGU